Molecule: ribosomal RNA, 483 nt
Filed under: uncultured Chlamydiae bacterium
Lineage: Bacteria; Pseudomonadati; Chlamydiota; Chlamydiia
Description: bacterial SSU rRNA
Rfam family: Bacterial small subunit ribosomal RNA
Source: RNAcentral
UCGAGAAUCAUUCGCAAUGGGCGAAAGCCUGACGAUGCGACGCCGUGUGAGCGAAGAAGGCCUUAGGGUCGUAAAGCUCUUUCGCUUGGGAACAAGAUAAGCCGGCUAAUAUCCGGCAAGUUUGAGCGUACCAGGUAAAGAAGCACCGGCUAACUCCGUGCCAGCAGCUGCGGUAAUACGGAGGGUGCAAGCAUUAAUCGGAUUUAUUGGGCGUAAAGGGCGCGUAGGCGGGGGUGCAAGUCAGAUGUGAAAUCCCGGGGCUCAACCUCGGAACAGCAUUUGAAACUACAUCUCUAGAGGGUAGGCGGAGAAAACGGAAUUCCACAAGUAGCGGUGAAAUGCGUAGAUAUGUGGAAGAACACCGGUGGCGAAGGCGGUUUCUAGCUUAUUCCUGACGCUAAAGCGCGAAAGUAAGGGGAUCAAACAGGAUUAGAUACCCUGGUAGUCCUUACUGUAAACUAUGUAUACUUGGUGUAACCGGAC